This 449-nucleotide ribosomal RNA is filed under the name uncultured bacterium. RNAcentral describes it as "bacterial SSU rRNA". It matches the Rfam family "Bacterial small subunit ribosomal RNA", at positions 29 to 524 of the family's 1533-position model. The record is from RNAcentral.
AGCGAACGCUGGCGGCAGGCUUAACACAUGCAAGUCGAGCGGAUGUAGCAAUACAUCAGCGGCAGACGGGUGAGUAACACGUGGGAACGUACCUUUUGGUUCGGGACAACCCAGGGAAACUUGGGCUAAUACCGGAUAAGCCCUUACGGGGAAAGAUUUAUCGCCGAAAGAUCGGCCCGCGUCUGAUUAGCUAGUUGGUGAGGUAAUGGCUCACCAAGGCGACGAUCAGUAGCUGGUCUGAGAGGAUGAUCAGCCACAUUGGGACUGAGACACGGCCCAAACUCCUACGGGAGGCAGCAGUGGGGAAUAUUGGACAAUGGCGCAAGCCUGAUCCAGCCAUGCCGCGUGAGUGAUGAAGGCCCUAGGGUUGUAAAGCUCUUUUGUGCGGGAAGAUAAUGACUGUACCGGGAGAUAAGCCCGGCUAACUCCGUGCCAGCAGCCGCGGUAAU